Non-coding RNA from Podarcis lilfordi (Lilford's wall lizard), 3089 nucleotides. NCBI's taxonomy places the organism in Eukaryota, Metazoa, Chordata, Lepidosauria, Squamata, Lacertidae. The record is from the annotation of a GenBank genome assembly.
CUCCACUGAAAGACAGGGCUGUUCUCCAGUUCCUCUUGUUUCCUUGACCUAACAAGUAUUUUGUUUUCAUCCACCGUUUCCCUCUGAGAAAGGCGAGUUUCCAAGCAUGAGCUGUCUUUCAAUCACAUGCCAGGGGAGCCCUCCUAGUCCAGUGAAUGAGAGUGAAGAUGUUAAGGGCGAUGCACAGGGAUUUGGGGAGGUUUCAUUGCCAACUCCUUUAGGCUGUUAUUUCGCUUUUAAUGGGCUCGCCUCCCUCCAGCCCACACUUAGCGAACCAGUUGUUGUCAUGUGCCUGGCUGAAGAUGUAUCCGCAAAGUUAACUUGACGCAGGAAACUUCUUUUCCUUCCAUCUUGACUUAGCAGCAAACAAAGGAAGGAAUGCCAAGUGACAAAAGCCUGCUGGGGACCUCUCCUCUCUUUUGAAGAUCCAUUUCACACCCCGUAUUCUGGUGGGCAUGGAGCAUUUCCCACACCGUAUCUUGCAAAAAUGCAACAUUGUGCAAAAGAUAACUCUCCCUCAUAAUUGGUUUGCUGAAAUUUGUUCAAGUUCCAACAAUGCCACUGGGAAAAAAGAUACUACGUCAUGGUAUUUUUAUGGGGGCGGGGGGCGUGUUUUGAAUUGGCAGCCUGCUGGCCACUGAUCACCACCAUUGUUGUGGCAACAGAGCAAUAGAGUUGAAACUACAAAAAAAAAAAAAAAAUGCUUUUACCAGGAAAAACUUUCUGCAUCCAAGAAUUCAAAAAAAAAUUUCUUCCAGCUCUUUCAAAAAAAUUAAUUUCUUCCCACUCAUUUAUGAAACCCACUCAGUGCCGGAUUUACCUAUAAGCUAAACAAGCUAUAGCUUAGGGCCCCACUCUCGGGGGGGGGGGGGGAAUUAAAGAAAAAAAAAACCUGGAUGUACAUUUCCAAAAUAUAAGAUAAAAAAACAAAUAAAAUAAAACCUACAUACAGCAACAGUGUUUUGUGUUGUAUAGGCUCCUAUGAUGUAAGUAAUGGGCCCCACCUGCUCCUUAAAAUAUUAUGGUCCAUAAAUUACCAUAUAGCAUAUAUUCAACACACAAAAACCAGCGACAAUUUGUUAUUGACAAAGGACAGCUGGACAAAUAAAGGGCCCCAUUACCUUCAGUAGCUGAGGGCCUCAUCAAACCUAAAUCCGGCCCUGAACCCACUGGUGGACCUUGGGCCACACACUACUUCUCAGCCUAACUUACCUCACAGGGUUGUUUUGAUGAUGAAACGUGAAGGGAGUGAACCAGGUACAUGACCUUGAGUUCCUUGGAGAAGGGGGUGGGAUAUAAAUGUAAUUAAAUAAUCAUAAUAUUUUUUAAACAAACAAACAAACAAAAAUCCCACACACACAGGAAGUACGUGUGCACAACUAGCCCAAAGGGAGAUAAUUUUUCCACAUGGCUCUCAACUAGGUGGCUCUUUUAAGCCGCCAUCACACACUCAAAAUGAGUUUUGAACAAAAGAAGAUUGCAUUUUCUAUAAAACUACUGAAGGAUCUAUGUGCCCCCCCACCCCCCGGCUGUGGCAGGGACCUAAUGGGCUAUUGUGGAAUUACUGUUCGUGCUAUGGCACCCUCUUCAGGCAAAGAAAGGAAUAGCAGUGUGUAACAUCAGCCCUUGUGAUUGUCUUACAGUAUGAAGCCUUGCUGCUCAGUGCUCCAGCUUUCAGCUCAAGUUGUGGACCUCAGGAGCUCCAGGGGCUCAGGAACGUUUCCUCCAGAACUAGCUUCUGGAGCUAACGAACCCAAAUGUGAUCAGACUUAAUACAGCUGCUCUUACUUCCCAGCAUUAAAAAAAAUAAAAAAAAAUCCUUGGCUUUGUUUGCUAUGCUAAUGCUCACAUUGCCAAUUCCGCUGCCAUUUAUUCACUGAUGCAGUUAAGAGGAUGGAUUGGCAGGCAAAACACUUUUUAAAAGAUUAUUUUAGAAACAGUUAUUUUAUGUGGGGUGAGGGGGUGGGGUGGGGGAGAGAGAAUUAGCAUAACAGAGUCAAGAUACUGCUGAGUAAAGCUUCCCUGCUUUAAAUAUAGCUGCAGACCUAUCUUGACGUAGAGAGAGGGCCAAGAGACAGAGAUCUAUGUGCUUUAAUCAUCUGUUUCAGAGAGCCGAUGAGAAUGUGCUAAUCGUGCAGUUUUAAGCCAGGGAACAUGGCUGCAAUUCCAUCAUGGUUCUCUGCAGUUCCCUAAAGUGUACUUUGACUCCUGCCUUUAAUACAGGGUUUAGGACAUUCUGCCAAAAUGUAAACAGACACAGACGUCUCCCCAGAGCACCUAUUAUUAUUAUUAUUAUUAUUAUUAUUAUUAUACUGCGGGUUACAUACGCUUCAGCUUACAGACGCUUCAGGUUACAGACUCGGCUAACCCAGAAAUAUUACCUCGGGUUAAGAACUUUGCUUCAGGAUGAGAACAGAAAUCGUGCGGCGGCAGCGGGAGGCCCCAUUAGCUAAAGUGGUGCUUCAGGUUAAGAACAGUUUCAGGUUAAGAACGGACCUCUGGAACGAAUUAAGUACUUAACCCAAGGUACCACUGUAUUAUUAUAUCACCUAUUAUUAUUUCUGUCAUCCAUCUCUGGGACAUCAAUGUUCCUUCUCUUUUCCAAAAGUGGAACUGGAAAAAGCCUGCCAUUUGGGUGGGGUACAGAGAAUGUAACUAAUUUUGCACCCCUGUUUUGCCACAUCUUAAUCUUACACUUGUGACAAUCUUACAGCUUUUGGUCUGGAGCCGGAGAACAGCAGAUGAAUACUUAUCUGGAGAUGUCAAUACUUAUCUGGAGAUGUCAAUACUUAUCUGGAGAUGUCAAGAUUUUCCUCCGUUCCUCUACAUGUUGUGGAGUGCUUUGUAUGUGCCCUUACAAUAUCCAAGCACAGAAAUACAAACACCGUGAUCUGCACUUUACAUCAACUCUGAUGGCCCACUUUUGAUCACAGUACCGUGUCCUGGUAAUAUGCCAUUCAUUAUUUACUGGAAGGAGCCAGUGAUGGAAACUCGAGGAUGUAGAAAAAUAAGAGCUGUGGGAAACAUCCAGUGUUUCUUGGGGUUCUGCAGAUGCAAUUGCUAUGCCAGCAGAUACUUGGAAAGGAGGG